This 259-nucleotide long non-coding RNA is filed under the name Manihot esculenta (cassava). Its description in RNAcentral is "long non-coding RNA (MESC_LNC010522)". The record is from RNAcentral. Lineage: Eukaryota; Viridiplantae; Streptophyta; Magnoliopsida; Malpighiales; Euphorbiaceae.
UGAGGUUCUUAGGAACCAGAGGUGGAGAUCGCAGGGAAUCCCACCUAUGUUGAGCAGUUAGUGCGGAUCAUGGACACACAAGUCAGGAAGUUGAGGAACACGGAAUCCUGAUGGUGAAAGCCUUGGAAUCACCGUUUAAUGGAAAAAGUAUGCCUAGGAGACCCGGGAGUUCGUACUCCAGCUAGUAUCUGUGUCUCUCUUUGGAGAGAGAUUUUAGGCUUUGCUUGCUUGUUUGCUUGCUUGGUUAUGUAUACUUGAU